AUCUGAUCUCAAAGGGCGAAUGUCGCGGUUGUAGCCCAGUGUUUUCCUUUGCCCUUUCCAACCUCUCCUUCCCAGAAAUCUCUCCAUCUCUCUUAUCUGUCUUCCUGUCGACGAUCGUGGCGGGAAGGUACUGGAUCCGAUUAUCUUGAUUUUACACUUAUGCCCCCCCUGGUUCUCAUUUGACGCGUAAACUCCGAACUUAUCCAUCUCCUCGAUUGGACACGCCUUCCAACCCAAGCAACCGGAAAUUGAAGACAGAUCCGAAAAACAGAGAGAGAGAGAGAGAGAGAGAGAGUCAGAAAGUCAGAGAAAACAGAUACAAAAGCAUUUCUAUUCUAUCAUAUUAUAAUUUGAAUCUCAUUCACGGCAGUCGCAGUAAAAAGAGAAAACAACUAUUUAUGAGUUUUGCGGAUGGAUGAAUGAACUCGCCUUUAUAAAUACACACACCGAACCCCUCUUUUGUCUCUCCUCUCUCAAUAUAUAUAGAAGGUCUCUACCCGUCCGGUUGUUCGGCUGCGCGUCUGCUCUUUCUUUUCCGCUUGAUUUCUCUGCCGCCGUCCAUUUUUCCACCCUGAACUCCCUCCUUCUUAUGAAGUUCCUUUGCGAUCUCUCCCUCUCCCACUCCAUCUUUGUCAUUCUCGGUUCUCCUCCUUCCUUCUCAUGGAUUCGAGUGAACUCUUCUGAAUUGGUUGGGAAAUUCGGCGUACAGAGUCUUGUUGAUGGGGAAUAGUGAUGAUGGGAAAUGCUUUUUCCCCCUCACAAGUUUGCAAAUUGGUGACUUGCAGUCUUAUCUUUCCGAUCUUAGCCUUUUUCUGGCUAGUGAAAGCAAGAAGUUGUAUAUCUUGGUGGACAAUCGACCAUGGUUGAAAGACCCAGGCUCGAGACGAGCCCAGUUAUGGCAAUUGAUGGUUACCAAGUCAAGGUUAUCUCCUUUUGCAAACACUAAAGCACGGAGGGAGAGAAAGGUAGAAAAGGAGUCUUGUUGCGGAUCGAACACUAGAAAAUCAGACAAGCUCCAGAAAUGGUUCUCAUUGGUUGAUGCGGUAACGUUGUCCCACAAGAGGGUUCUGCUACCUGUAAAAAAACUUCGCAAUUCUUCUCUUUUUAGCAGCGAGUUGCAUAGUACCUUGUAUGGCUUUAUUGUAUUUGAAGUUUCAUGGAGCAAUGUUCGAGGCAUCAACUACUUGAAUGAGCUUCAGACUGAUACAUGUCUGGCUAUAGAGGCCAAAGUUAUGCAAAGAUGGGAAUUUGAUACUAUAGCUCAAGCUGCAAGCUCUAUAUCUUCAUGGUUCUUGGGAACGCCCUCUGAAAAGAAACUCUUGAAAGAGUAUCUUGAUUCUGCUAUAGGAGAAGUAUUUUAUGACGCUGAAGAAUAUUUCUCAAGAGGUAUCCCUAUUGAUGAUAAUGAAAUUGCCUGCCCUGAUGAUCCAUAUGUUGAGGAUAAUGGUUUCCACCACCUUGGUGGCAAUUUUAGUUUAUAUUCUGCUACUGAUGAAAAUACAAGUGCGUUUCACACGCCGCCUCCACCCACUGGGCCUUAUAAGAGAAGAAAAGUAAUGAAGUCCAUUAGUACAGGAGUUGAAGAUAAUACAUACUCUGAGAAAAUACAAGGAGAAAUUGACAACUCAUUAGAAAACUCUGAAACUUGUUCUAGCGAUUACGAAGAUCCAGUUGAAGCUACCCAUUACAGUGAUGUCUUGAUUUUGUUUCGGUUCAAUGACCGUGAUCUCCCGUUUAAAUUAGGGCAAAUAAUAAUGCCUGAUUUGCGGUUACUUACCUUGUUAGAGGCUGGGCUUCCAUCCUGGGUUAUUUUCCUUCAGUCAUACCCAGGUUUUUGCCAUCUUUAUCGCCCAUGGAUGUGCCCUUUGGCAAGAGUCUUAUAUGUUAUGAUGUCAGUUGUCACUGUUCUUAUAGGAUUUUAUGAUUUAUACAAAAAUGUCCCAGUACUUAAGGCAACUGCUUUUCGUUUGUGUGGGCCUCUGUUGGAUUGGAUAGAGACUUGGGAGAUGGUGUCAAGGAUCAAGUACUUGGGAACAAUGCUAUUCCUACAUAAUUUUCAGAAGGCUGUUCAGUGGUUUCUUACAAUUACACGUGCUGCCCGGUCCUUCCUUUCAGUUUUUACCCAGCCACUGCUACAGCCACUUUUGGAAUUUUUUAGGUUUUUUGUUCCAGUCUGGAAUGAACUUAUCAAAGUGGUGGAGAGCUUCUCUUCAGUCCUUUGGAUAGUGAUUGGGUCCCUUUUCAGUAUAGUGGAGUAUGUCUUUGAGAUCUUACUAUUGCCAAUGUGGUUUGGCCUGAGAGUUAUCUGGAGCAUUGCAACAUCCAUUUUAUAUCCUAUAUUUUGGAUCCUUUGGGAACUGGUCUAUGCUCCGGUUCGCAUGGUCCUUGCGUUAGCCAGUUUCAUGGUUUUUGUUUCUACCAGCAUAUAUGGGAUGCUUGGAGAAAUGUGGCAGUUUUUUAGUAGCAUCUUUCAGCUUGCUUCAGCUUCUGAGGCAACAGUGAGAACAUAUGAAGUUUCCAUUUGGCGUUCGCUUUGGAAUGAUCUCUUUUCCCAGGUUGUAAGAAAGUCUUCCGAGCUCUAAGGAGUAUAUUAAAUGGUUUUGUUGCCUUCUUCACAGCCUGCAACAGGCAUCGGCUUAGGUAUACUUAAUUAGUUAUUCUACUUUCGAAUCACAUAAGAAUUACUUGUUUGAUUUCAAACUUCUUCAUAUCCUAUGAUACACAUUUGUAUAGAUUCUUGGCCAAUUACAACAUCUAGUUGGAUCGUUACGUGAUUAUGAUCAUGGCAACUGAAAUGUAUGGUGUAAAACAAUUGCUGUAAUGAGUUUUUUUUUUGUUUUUUAAGUUCAGAAACCAGAUAUUCUAUACAUGCUUAUAGCAUGCUUGUUAGGAAAUCUAAAGCUAUAGGCAAAAAUGUUAAAGUAAUAAAUCAUCUAGGUGGUGGUUGUUCUGAUAUGAUCAAAUGGCUGAGGUACCUCAGGCCGUGGUUCCUGCCCAGGCUUCUCCAGCUAGCUCUUUCCCCGUCCCGCUGGGUGACAGGAGGGUAGUCCAGAUCCUUACGCGGGCCCAGGAGAGGCUUUCGCUGCACUUCUAUGGGGCUCUCUUGAACUCCACUCCCAGAGAGUCCAUGGUUUGCAUUCGCGGCCCACCUCCUUAGUCACUUUGUGUGAUGUUUGUGUUCAUAAUGUUAUCAGUGAAAAGAACCCGUACAUGGUCAUGGAAUUCUUUGAAAAUAUCUGUACAAAGUCAGUCUACACUGCUUCUACAGAAGAUGAAGGGAAAAAUUGUAGAUUGACACAAUUACGGGUAAGGCUGAUGGAAUUGUUGAAAAUUACUUUGCAUGGAGACAGUUCGACCAGUGAGAAUACUUUCGACUGAUGCUUCUGAUUCACAUCUUUAUAGUUUCCCUUCAAAUUCUUGUAUUAAGUACUUUGGAUUUUUGCACUUUUUUAAGGUCUUUACUGUGUUGCCAGUUUUGGCCGAGGUUUCUAAUGGACGCUCCCAUAGCUCUUUCAUAUUUGGGUUUGAGCUUUCACAAACUUCAUGGUGAUCCGUUGCUGCUUAGAAUGGUUAUAUAUAAGUUAUUUCAUCAGGACAAUCCCAACGUUUUGCUGCUUUUUUGGAGAUUGCGAAUAACUGCUCUUGAAACUUUUAGGUUCUCUUGAUCUUAGAUUGCAGCCACUUCUCUUGCUAAUGAUUGUUUUGACUUGUUGCUGUGCAGCAUUUAUAAUCAUCUACAAGAGUUUAUCCAAAGAUUAUUUGGUCGAAGCCAUAGAUCACGACGUAUAGAUUCAAGACAUAGUAGACCACCUGCAUCUGGGACUCAAAAGGCAUUAGAAGAAAGAAGGAAAGUUCACAUUAAGUGAGGCUUAUUAUAUUUUUCUAUUACACGGAAAGGUGGGUACCUCCGACCAAGGGUGUCGAUCUGUAUUC
Molecule: RNA transcript, 3933 nt
Organism: Carya illinoinensis
Lineage: Eukaryota; Viridiplantae; Streptophyta; Magnoliopsida; Fagales; Juglandaceae
Exons: 9
Source: RefSeq, a predicted model, not a curated record